CUUUGCAAGAAUAAAGACAAUUACAUCCCCCGAAAGCUAGUGAGCUGACCUCUAUUUGUUAAGAACCCACUGCCUAGUGUAGCAAUACUACCAAUAAAAUUAACGUCAGCGGCUACAUACCUACCGCACUACCUAAUACCUGGUUUUCAUCCACACCAGCUUUAGCUGUUAAAGCUACUACAUAAUCGCUAGCUAGAAAAAUAAAUUAAGGAGAAGCUUAAUUUAGCCGCCCCAUUUGACAAAAAACCACAUUCCCCCCUGUAGGCUUGAAAUCAGCCACCAGCACACCACGUUUUAGUAGUAUAUAUAAGGAGAAUCCUAUAUCAACAAUUACCCAUAAAUGAAUAACUGUGUAAACCCCCACCGCAGUAAAACUAUGCAAAGAUUAGUAUUUAAUCUCAUAUACAAGGAAGGAACUCGGCAAAAACUUAUUUCGACUGUUUAACAAAAACAUUGCCUAUAGACCAAUCCAUUAUAGGUAUGCCCUGCCCGGUGAUAGAUAAUAUUAAACGGCCGCGGUACCCUGACCGUGCAAAGGUAGCAAAAUCAUUUGCCUCCUAAUUAGAGGCCAGUAUGAACGGGUUAACGAAAGUAAAGCUGUCUCCCUAGUAUCCAUAAAACUUUUUCUCCAGGUGAAAAAACCUGGAUCUCUAUAAAAGACAAGAAGACCCUGCGAGCUUUAGUCUACGCAGGCUAAUAUCGAACCCACAGUACCAAACUACACCUGCAAUGACAUUUAUUGGGGCAAUAAUGGAGCACACAAAACCUCCUAUACACACAAGACACCCUGUCCCCCAACAGAUCCCAUCCAAGGACCAAAGGCACAAGCUACCGCAGGGAUAACAGACUAAUUAUUCCUCCGGAGUUCAAAUCUACAGGAAAGCUUGGCACCUCGAUGUUGGCUUAAAGAUCUCUUUUAGAUGCACCAGUCUAAGAAGUGGGUUUGUUCAACCCUUAAUACUUUACAUGAG
Molecule: ribosomal RNA, 971 nt
Filed under: Marphysa cf. hentscheli JZ-2010
Lineage: Eukaryota; Metazoa; Annelida; Polychaeta; Eunicida; Eunicidae
Description: partial 16S ribosomal RNA
Rfam family: Archaeal large subunit ribosomal RNA
Source: RNAcentral